This 65-nucleotide transfer RNA is filed under the name Dipodomys ordii (Ord's kangaroo rat). It matches the Rfam family "tRNA". Rfam says of the family: Transfer RNA (tRNA) molecules are approximately 80 nucleotides in length. Their secondary structure includes four short double-helical elements and three loops (D, anti-codon, and T loops). Lineage: Eukaryota; Metazoa; Chordata; Mammalia; Rodentia; Heteromyidae. The record is from Rfam by way of RNAcentral.
GAUGGCUCAGUGGUAGAGUGCUUGCCUUGCAUGCAUGAGGUCCUGGGUUCAAUUCCUCAGCAUCA